RNAcentral lists this long non-coding RNA (25691 nucleotides) under Triticum aestivum (bread wheat). RNAcentral describes it as "long non-coding RNA (TAES_LNC002265)". The record is from RNAcentral. Lineage: Eukaryota; Viridiplantae; Streptophyta; Magnoliopsida; Poales; Poaceae.
AGUAUCAUGCAAAAGACAUUGAGACAAUCAAGAUUACUUGAGCAACCUGAAUUAUGUUAGUUGUUACCUGCUUUCAAACGAAUGUGUCCUCUCAUAGUAUGCAUGUACUUCUGUUGUUGAGGAAUUUAUAUCAUUAGACAGUUCUGUUUUUCAUAAUUAUUGAUUAAUGGGUACAUACCUUCAAUCCUGGAAGAUUAUCAGAUAGCCAGCCAAGGAAGCGAUUUGUUUAUUGAAUUGGGCAUAAUAGGAACAUUUUUACAUUCAAAGGAACAUCAUAGGAAUAAUUUGGUAUUUCAAGAAGAUUUUCCAGUCCCCUGCCCCAACCUACUGGAGACAGUAUGAGUGGUGACAGACACAUUUGUAACAUACGAGCAAGCCAGUGCAGCAGCUUCAGUCACAUGCUCUGGAAGCCCAUUUUGGGUCUUCCUUUAGAAGGCUCAACAAGGCCAUCAUCACACCAUUCUAGUUAGUUACUUCUGCAACGAUAUAUGUCCGUAAGAACAUAAGAAGCUAGGGUUCUAGUAGACUUAUAAUGCUCUAACAGCACCACGUUGGAUAUGCCCGUACAAAUAAAAUAACUUGAAUCGAGUCUAUAUGUAAGAACAUAUCUUGUCAUCAGUCAACUACUAGUACAGUAAGAGCAUCAAAGAGGAAUUCAUUUCAUAUAGAAUAGUCGCAAUCAUAUACUUUUGUUCUGCACAUACUGCUCAUUAUCAUGGACAAUGAUGUAGCUAGCUAAAAGGGGGCAUGUGGCUAUAAUGUAAGCAGGGAGGCUCCAGGGACGAGCUCAACAGACAGAACUAACCUGCUCUUGCAAGGAACCAGUAAGCCUUGCUACAUUGUCACCUGCAUGCUGCAUGGCAUCGCGUCCACCAGCUAUUGUGGUAUGUCGCAACUCUUUCCUCACAUCUUUUCACCGAAGCGAUCGUUGGCGAAUUCUAAUCUUUCUGGAACAACAUUCCUAAUUCCCUGCACUAGAAGGUCAUCAUGAUGCAUCGGUACAUCGGAAUUCCGGACACAUUAACAAAAUCUUUGCCCAAACCAAAUUAAGGGGGAAAUGAGAAAUGAAGGAGAGAACCAAAUAGUAAGUUAGGUUAUAUAUAUGUAUGUAUGUAUCUAUAUAUAUAUAUAUAUAUAUAUAUAUAUAUAUAUAUAUAUAUCGUUCAUAGUAAAAACAACCGGAAGUGUAUCCAUGUUGUUUGCUUAGGUGGCUGAAAUCAAGGUCCUAUUCACUGGGAUGAUAAACCUACUAAAUAAAAGGGUUCUCAAAGUCCCCUCAGAACUAGAGUCGAGUAACACAGUCAUGGUCCCAUGGGGUUUCAGGAUAACGACAUGAAAAUGUGGUUAACACAAUCAGCUCUCUCAUUAAGAUUUGUCUUAUUUUUAUCACUACGGGAAAAUUCAUGUUUGCAGAGUGUUAGUGUCUUUGUUGAGUGCAUUAUGUUGGGCACUCGGCAAACAUAUCUUUGCCGAGUGUAAUCCUGAAACAUGGUAAACAUGUGCUUUGCCCACUGUCGUGGAAAAAAACUCUGGCAAAAAAGUUAUAGUUACUAAAAGGUGCUUUGUUGAGUGUCUUGGAAAUAACUCUCGGCAAAAUAGUGGAACUCGGGCAAAGAUGUGCUUUCCCGAGUGCUACACUCGGCAAAAGGGGGUAUGCACUGUGCUCACUGUUUUGGCUGUCGAGAUUGCAUACAACCUUGGAUGAAGAUGAUCCAAAAAUCGAAGUUUUUUAUUUCGACAAGAUGAAUAGUUUUCAUGUUGAGGACCUUUUCAUUUUAGGCCAUAUUAUUUACACUUUUUGCCAUGCCAAAAUAUGGUCCCAAAUGAAUAAGGCAGUGGUCAUAUUUAUUGCAUAGUUUAUGACUAUGGUCCUAACCUUGGCAUUUAUGUGCAUCUUGCCAUUACAAACAAUUUUGCCAAAUAGAGAUUCCAACAUUUUGUACAAAAAUAAUUUUUUUAUUUUUGAAGCAUAAAAAAUUGAUACUUUUGUGAAGCUGGUAAAAAAAAUAGAGUGCAAAAUGGCAUCACUCCAAUUUUCACAAAAAUAGACCAUGCUUUUUUAGAAAAUUCCCAUUUCUUGUGGAUUUUCUAGAUUUCUAGCUACUUUCACACAUUUAUAUGACUUUAUUAUGAUUCCGCAAAAUUAAUUCAAUUUGAACUGUAAUUGUGUGAUAGCUCUGUCCUAGAAAUUUGCAAAAAAUACUUUUAAGUACACAAGUAGUCAUUACCUGGAAAACCCACUUAGAGUUUGAGAGAUUCAACCCCUUACAUGAGUAGCCAUGCCGGCCACUUUCACCCCGUUUGGGAAAAAAUGAAACCAAAAGGAUACAAGUUCAAAAAAUGCAAUCCUUUCAUAUGAACUCCUUUUAUCUGUACUAGUGUGGAUGAAAAUACCAAACUUUCAAUAUGACAGUUUUCAAAGAAAAAUAUCCUUCACAAAUGGGCUAUCCUCUAUGAACAUUCAUGGCUUUCAAGUCAAUGACCAAGGUGAUGACCAUAUUCAUUGCAUAGUUUAUUAUAAUGUGCCUAAAUUAGACAUAUAGGUGAACCUUGCCAUUACCAAUAAUGUUGCAAAAUAGAAUUUCCAACUUUUUUGUUCAAAAAAAUCAUUUUCUAUUUCAGUAUAAAAAAUGGGUGUUUUUUGUGAAGCAGGUACCAAAAACAGGGUACAAAAUGGCACCACUCCAAUUUUCACAAAAAGUAGACCGUAUUUUAUGGACAAUUCCCAAAGUGUGUAGAUUUAUCUCUUAAAAUUUAACAAUUGGUGUAUUUUUUAAUAUUUAAUGAAAAUAAUAUAUGUAUUUUUAAUAGGAAGGGCGGAUAUUUAAAGGAUAGCAUAGACAUCUGAGGGUGUACGUUAAAGCGUUGGAGGUACCUUUAUGUGUCAGUUUACGCCAUGCUCAACCGGCAAUGUGGUAGUAUUAAUCAGUAUAUACUUUUGAUUGUAAAAGAAAUCAAUAUAUAAUUUGUUUGGAUUAUUUUAGUUUGCAGGGCAAACUUAAAAUGGAUUUAUUUAGCCUAUUUUUGUGAAAUCACUAAUUAGGAGGUACCUUUUGCAAAGGUCACACCCCACUUUCAUUAGUGCUGACAGGUGGCACAUGGCAUGUGUGUCCCUUGUCGCAACAUGGGAGUUUCCCCUUUUUGUAGAUUCAUUUUUUAAAAUCUUUUAUCUCUUGAACCGCGCAUUCAAAUCACGACCCAUUUUUAUCGUUGGAUUUCUCCCGCCGAGAUCUUUGAAACUAGUCACAUGUUAAUAAGUUCCGAUGAACUUUUUCUUCACGAAAAUCAAACAAAAAAAUAUGAAAACAAAAAAUACAGAAAGCAAAAAAAGAAAAAAAAACUAAAAUCAAGGUUGUGCUUUUUUACAUUUUUGGGAAGAAAAAGUGUGCUUUCCCCUUUUUGGGAAACACGGUUUUGCUUCUUGUGCAAGCAUAGGUCGUGCUUUUCCCUUUUCAAGAAGCAUAGGCCAUGCUUCUCUUGUUCUCCGGGAAGCACAUAUGUGCCUUUCCUUUCGGGGAGCACAGUUUUCUCUUUCGGAAAAGCAUAGAUGUGUUUUUCCCUUUUCAGAGAAGCACUACCUAUGCAUCUCACCGAAGAACAUGCUAUGCUUUUCCUUUUUUGAGGAAGUAUAGUUGUGCUUUCCCUUUUUUACAGGGUAGCAAAAAUUGUGCUUUCUUCCUUCUCGGGAAGCUAUGCUUCCCGCGGAAAAGCACCGCCUCAUGAAAAAACAUAAAAAUGUUUUUUUUUCAUCAAAACCUAGGGAAAACCAAGAAAAAAAAGAAAACAUGUGUAAAAAAAUCUAAGGGUGAACCCAGUGCACGACACGUGGCGGCAAUUGGAUGCAUCACUUGAUGCGCUCUCAGGUCCUAAAAGUAGCCUAUGUGGAAUCCCCCGAUGAGAUACCCGUUAGAUAGUUGGAGACCUCCUUGCAUCAAAUAGGAGGGUGGCCACAAAGGGGGCGCAUCCUGGUGGGCCGGCCCAGCAGCGUGCUACACUCUAGCGCAAAUUGGUCAAAAUCUAAAAAGUGAUGUGUGAUCAAAGCGCGCAUGGCUAGCCACUCAAGCUAAUGAAACUCUGCUAACUACUAGGCCGUGUUGAACUUUAAAAAGUACUAUAUGAUACCCCGCGCGUUGUUGCGGGAACUCUUAGUACUUUACAUGAAGAAGCUUGUGGAGUGAAAAUAAUUAAAUGAUGAAAAUAUACACUUUUUAAAACCUUUGGUGGUACUUGUAGGAACAUUAUGGAGUGAAAAUAAGUUAACAAUUAAUAUAUUUUUAAACCUUUGAUGGUAUUUUGAGAAUCAUGAGAGAAAUGGUAUAUUAGGGUAUCUCUGUAUUUAUGUAGUUAGAACGCGCCACCCUUCAGCGGGGAAUUAAAUGCAUCGCUAACAUUAAAAAAUAGAGCAUAUAGUUUGAUGGGAAUUUCACUGAAAACAUGGCCAGCCAAGUCUAAAGCUGAAUAUUACACUGAACAGAGAGCCCAAUCAUUGCCUAACACAAAAGCACUAAUGCUUGUUGAGUUAUUUGUAAUAUAGGAGCAGAAUCCCUUCGAAAGAGAAAUUCCAAAAUAUUAAAAAGAUCCAACAGUAAGACAUCCAUACACCUUACAGUUUAUACAUGGAGACAAGCUACAUACCAAUCGCUAAAAAGGUGAAUAUAGAGUCAUGCACAUCAGGCCCUCAUGGCAUAGAUGCAUUUCUUCCACUAAAAGGACAUGCCUUAAGGGGAUUAGUGUAGGUGUGAAGAUCUGGACAUAUAAAUGGCAGGAAUGACUUCAUCUUCCUACCCCUUCUAUGGAAACAGAGGCCCGACUUCAAUUGGGAUCCGUUUGACAUGUUGCUCCCUCUUCAUAAAAUGGAGCUGAUCGUUAUCUAAAAGCAAGCUAGGUAGAUUUGGCAUGGCCAGCAGUAGUACUUGCUACUUUGCCAGUUGUGAUGCAUCAUAUGAGAAGGCAAGGAAGGUUGUGUGCUGCCAUGGCCGGACCCUUUGGGGUGCCAAAUGGUGUUCAAAUUUAUAGUAGGUUCCAUUUUUGGUGGGAAUCCAAGGAAAAGAAGGCAAUGGAGUAAGAUGACAACCCAUUCCCAGACUGCCACUCAAAAUCAAAAUGAAGAGGGUAAAUAAAUGUACUUACUAAGAACACACGGAUAACAUAUAGCUGGCUACAGAAACAGCCAAACUUUGUAAGUCCACGGAAAUUGAGGAAAUUGUGAAAACUAUUUCUGUGAGUAGAAGGAAACGUAGUCCAGUUACCUUUCAUGGUAAUGCUUCUCUUGAGACGAUUCUUAGGAUCCCUGAAGAAUGUCUUCUGUUUUCCUGAAGCGGGAUUCCUUGCUAGAGCAGUACCUUUUGUUCUCUUGAGUUAAGGCAGAGUGGGAAAUACAUCACUAUCAGCUCUAGUUCAAUUGCUUGUAUUUUACAAAAACAUACAAUUGAAACAAUUAUCAGGAAAAGUUAUUACCUUAAUCGCAGCAACUCUUUGAGCAUGCAAUUUGGCGUCUUGGUGUAUAAUCUUCAUGUGUAAACAAUUUGUUUUAGCAUCUAGACUCUAUAAUUAAAAUUAAUAAGUUCUUUAAAAGCCAAAGGCAACUAUAUAGACCAAUACAAUUAAACAAAGGCAGCGGGUAGGUUUCAAAUUUGAAGUAGCAGGGCUCCAUAGUUAACUCUCCAUCAUGCAGGCAUUUAGUGUAGUAGAUACAAGACAUACGUGUGACAGAUUGCAUAUGAACAACAUUUAUUAGUAGGAAAAUUGUACUACCGUAUAUUGCACUAACACUAACUAUAUGAAGAAGCCAAUAGCAUGUAAUUUCAGCUUGCAAGAAAGCGCCACUUACUCUUAUAGAUCGGCUAAUCUACAUGGCAACUUCCGGGGAUGGUGAUGGAUAAGUACAGUUGGAUCGUGUUUAGGUGUUAAUCUAUUUUUAUAAAAAUCAUCUUCCUUUACUUUCAAGGGAGAACUGUAGAGGGGAAAGAACAACAUUUUUUAAUCUAAUGAUCCAUCACUUAUUCACAACUAUUGCAAUAACCAAGUAUGUUGGAUGCAAGGAGGAGGUGAGAGUGCAGGCAACAUGUAUGUCACAUCAUGCGAACAGGUGGGGAUCAUGUUAAGUCAAUGCAGAAGGAUGCGUUGUGUGUCCGCGCACCGUCAACACCGCCGAGUAAACAGUAAACUAAACCUGGGGACCAGCGCUCUUGACCUUCCCAGCUACUUCUGGCAUAGGGGGAAUAUUUGAGGAUUUAUAGUGCUGAGAUUAGGGUUNNNNNNNNNNNNNNNNNNNNNNNNNNNNNNNNNNNNNNNNNNNNNNNNNNNNNNNNNNNNNNNNNNNNNNNNNNNNNNNNNNNNNNNNNNNNNNNNNNNNNNNNNNNNNNNNNNNNNNNNNNNNNNNNNNNNNNNNNNNNNNNNNNNNNNNNNNNNNNNNNNNNNNNNNNNNNNNNNNNNNNNNNNNNNNNNNNNNNNNNNNNNNNNNNNNNNNNNNNNNNNNNNNNNNNNNNNNNNNNUCCUCCCGAAGCUUCCUAGGUUUCUUCUGGUCCAAGAAAAAUCAUCGUAAAGUUUUAUUCGUUUGGACUCCGUUUGAUAUUCCUUUUCUGUAAAACUCAAAAACAAGAGAAAAAAACAGAAACUGACACUGGGCUCUGGGUUAAUAAGUUGGUCCCAAAAAUAAUAUAAAAUAACAUAUUAAUGCAUAUAAAUCAUCCAAAAUAGAUAAUAUAAUAGCAUUGAACAACCAAAAAAUAUAGAUACGUUGGAGACGUAUCAGGAUCAUGUUAAGUCGAUGCGAAAGGAUGCAUUGUGUGUUCGCACACUGGAUGCUUGUAUUUAUAUGGCUCUAUCAGCGUCGCCGAAUAAACUAAAUCUGGGGACCGGUGCUCUUGACCUUCCCAACUACUUCGACUGGAAAUCAGAUCCUCCAUGCCAAAUAAGAAAGACCAUUCAGGUCGUGCUGAUUGAGAGGAAAGAGACCACUCACCUCCGACAAUGGCACGUGUGGCUCGCCUGAAGGUCCUUGGGUUGAAUCCACGGUGUUGGGCUAGCGUAGCACCCAUUGGCGGCAAUCAUGGGGCUCCAAGAUGGCGUCACCAUGUAGAUGUCUGGUGUUGUUGGCCAUAGACGGUUUUGUCAAAGGCGACGCAUUAUGGAAAGAUGGAUAGAUGAAAGAGGGGAGGAGAAGAACCUGGAAGACAAUAGAUAUUUAUUGGUGAAGGGGAGAUGAACGGAAUCAUCGGGCGAAGAGGUGAUGGCUCGUGUCCGCAUUAGUAUUUUCCCCGAAGAGGAAGGGAUGAUGCAACACAGCUACGGUAGGUAUUUCCCUCAGUGAUGAGACCAAGGUUAUCGAACCAGUAGGAGAACCAUGCAACACUAUGUAAACGGUACCUGCACACAAAGAACAAAUACUUGCAACCCGACGCGUAAGAGGGUUGUCAAUCCCUCCCGGGUAAAAGAUAGAUUGGUUUCUAGUAGAUUGGAUAAAUAGAUCUCGCGGAAACCCAAAAUAAAAUAAAUAACAAAAAAUUGCAUCAAGGUAUUUUUGGGUUUUUAGAAUAAUAGAUAUCUAUACCUACUAAUAAAAGAAAUAGGUAUUCUUCGUCCGUCAUGCUAUUUUGUAGAAAACCCCCUGAUGUUUCUGACAUUAAACCCGCAGUACAUAUCAAGUGCUUUUUAAAAUACUCAUAAUUUUAAACCAUAACUCCAAAUUUAACAUAUUAUAUAUGGAAUUUAAUUAGAAAAUUAUUUAGAAUCUAAAUAUGAUGUUAUUUUACCUAUUAACAAUUUUUAAAAUAAACUAUCUAGGCUGCAAUGUUAAUCAACAAUGCAUUAUCCGUCUUUUUUUCAUACCGGUAUUGAUUUAGAUUGGGGAUGAAAACCUCAGCAAAAUCAGGAUUGGACAUCAGAUUGAAGAUAAAUUUGUUAGAGACACCGAAUAAAUAAGGACAUGCAUGACAAGAAAUAAAAAGAUCCAAUAAAGAUGGGAUGUCCGCUAUAAAAAUAAAUAAAAGAGAAAAUGCAGAGGAGAUCCGAUAAAGAUGAGAUGUUGCGCUAUUCUCCUAUAUAUAAGAAGAGUAAAAGGAGGACAUGCAUGAAAAAAGGUAAAAAGGAGGCAUGCAUGAAAAAAAUACAAGUUUUAUAAGAAAUAAAUAGUGAUGAAACAGGGACCAAUACCUAUGACAUGUAUGGCAAGAAAUAGUGAUGAAAUAGGGGCACAAGUACCUGAGUCAACAGGAGACCAUAAAAAAUGUUGUUUUCCAGACCAAAAAAACCUAUUUUAUGAUUAAAAAAUCUUGUACCUUUUUAACUCUUCAUGUAUUUAAGAAAUAGCUACAAAUUCUCGGAUUACAAAACAUUUUUUGUAAAUUAAGAGUGUGUGGUACUUUUUUCCCGUUGCAACGCACGGGCCUUUUUGCUAGUGAAAAUAAAAGAGGCAAAUAAUAGAUCGGAAAGCAAAUAUGAUAAAGAAUAGACCCGGUGGCCGUAGAUUUCACUAGUGGCUUCUCUCCAGAAAAAUAGCAUACAGUGGGUAAACAAAUUACUGUUGGGCAAUUGAUAGAACUUCAAAUAAUUAUGACGAUAUCCGGGCAAUGAUCAUUAUAUAGGCAUCAUGUCCUAGAUUAGUAGACCUACUCCUUCCUGCAUCUACUACUAUUACUCCACACAUCGACUGCUAUCCAGCAUGCAUCUAGUGUAUUAAGUUCAUGGAAAAAUGGAGUAAUGCAAUAAGAAUGAUGACAUGAUGUAAACAAGAUCUAUUCAUGUAGGAAUAGACCCCAUCUUGUUAUCCUUAAUGCAACGAUCAAUAUGUGUCUUGCUGCCCCUUCUGUCACUGGGAAAGAACACCGCACGACCGAUCCCAUCACAAAGCACCUCUUCCAUGGCAAGAAAAAUCGAUCUAGUCAACCUAACUAAACAAAAGAUUUGAAGAAGAAUACGAGGCUAUAAGUAAUCAUGUGUCUAAGAGAUCAAAACUCAAAUAACUUUCAUGUAUAAAAUAGAUCUGAUCAUAAACUCAAAGUUCAUCGGAUCCCAACAAACACACCGCAAAAAGAGUUACAUCAAAUAGAUCUCCAAGAGACCAUUGUAUUGAGAAUCAAAAGAGAGAGAGGAAGCCAUCUAGCUACUGCCUACGGACCCAUAGUUCUACAAUGAACUACUCACGCAUCAUCGAAGAGGCACCAAUGAGGAUGAUGAACCCCUCUGUGAUGGUGUCUAGAUUGGAUCUCAUGGUUCCGGAACUUGCGGCAGCUCGAAUUGUGUUUCGUCGACUCCCCUAGGGUUUUUGGAUUUUCGGGGUAUUUAUAGAGCAAAAAGGUUGUGCGGGAGGGCACCGAGGUGGGCACAACCCACCAGGGCACACCUGGGCCCCCAGGCGUGCCCAGGUGGGUUGUGUCCCCUGGGGGCACCCAUCUGGUACUUCUUUGGCCCAAGUUGUUCCGUCUGGUAUAGAAAAAUUCUCCAAAAAGUUUCAUUGCGUUUGGACUCCGUUUGGUAUUGAUUUUCUGCGAAGUAAAUAACAAGCAAAAAAUAACAACUGGCACUGGGCACUAUGUCAAUAGGUUAAUAAAAUGAUAUAAAGUUGCUAUAAAAUGAUUGUAAAAUAUCCAAGAAUGAUAAUAUAACAGCAUGGAACAAGCAAAAAUUAUAGCUAUGUUGGAGACGUAUCAAGAGGCAAUAAGAGGAAGGCGCAGCAAUCAGUUCGACAGUAGUAAAAAAUUACACGAUUCGUUUCGUUGAAAAGGGAAAAAGGAAGCAUUGGUGACGUGGCAGAUUUUCUUACGUGGAUGGCUGCAUGUUGAUUGCUGAUGUGGAUAGGCUACAUGUCAAGAGAAAUAUGGUACUGGGAUGAACUAUUUAGGUAUUAUAGAUGCGCAACAUCACAUCUAAACUCUUUAUGAAAUUACAAAACACGAUGGUUUUUAAAAUGGAUAUAUUUUGGAACCCAAUUUUUUUAAAUUUAUGAAUAAAUUUUUGAAAACUUGAACAAUUUCUUGAGUCUAUGAACAAUUUUUUGAACACGAACUUUUUUUCAAAAUUUCAAAACGCAAUUACUUUUUUAAUGCAACCUUUUUCAAAAUUCAAAAACAUGAUUGUUUGUAAAGUGAAUAUGUUUUUAAAAUUCUAGACUAAAUUUGCAAGUUGAAUAUGUUUUGAGAAACACUCGAAAUUGUGGACGUUUUCUAAAACGUCAAAGAACUUUGAAAAACAUCAAACAUUUUUCAAAGCACGGAUUCUGGGGAAAAAACAAAUUCCGAACAUCUUUUAGAAAUUUUGAAUUUAUGAAAAAAGAAAAAGAAACAGAAAAUGAAAAAGAAAGAAAGCAAGGAAAAGCAGUGAAGAAAUAAAACAGAAAAAGGGAAAAAACCUGAAAAUAGUGGUAAAGACUGAUCCUAGCUACUUGGGCUAGUCCAUCUAUGGUUUACUCGCUGCUCAUUUCGGAGAUUUCUUUUAGGGGUAAAACCAAGUUUUAUACAUCAAACACCAUAGAGUGUGGGAUAGAGUUUGGGUCAUGGCAUUUUCCAAAGCAAACAUUGCGUCCCAGACCUAACGAAAGAGAAAACCUGCCUAGAUUAUGUGCUUCGACAUUUACAGGAUGAUCUUUAGAUAAAAAAAUACAAUGAAAUAAAUACGGUUGCAACUUGAUCUCGUUGAUAAUGGCUCGUUUCCACAUAGUUUGCUCACAUUUUUGAGAGAAAAUUUAGCCUUGAUGGGCUGGGAAAUUGGGCCAGCCAUCCUCGAGUGUGACUGGCUUGACUUUGUCUAGUAUAAAGCCCAUCACGUUGCCCAAGAGCCCACCCUUAUCUAUUUUUCUACAGGACCCACAUAUGUUUGGUUCCUUCAGCACGAUGGGCCACCUCCCAGCCUCCCUCGCCCGCUCGACAGCUCCCCCACCAAUAGAGUUAGGCCCUCGACCCUCCCCCACCCCAAGGUUGCGCGCAUGUCCCUUCCCGACAUCUCUUCCACACGGCCUCGUCCCACCCCAUGUUCUCCCCCAAGUGCUUUGUCGAGUGUCAUGGAAAAAUAUUCUUGGCAAGAUAGUGGAACUCACGCAAAAUGUGCUUUAUCAAGUGCUACACUCGGCAAAAGGGGGUAUGCAGGGAAGCAAAAUCGUGCUUUUUUCCUUCUCGGGAAGCUGCGCUUCCCGUGGAAGGCUUCAUCAAAAACCAGAAAAAAAGAUUUUUUUUUUCAUCAAAACCUAGGGAAAAUAAAAGAAAAAAAACACGUGUAAAAAAUAAAAUCUUAAGGGUGUACCUGCACACGACAUGUGGCCGCAGUUGGGCACAUCACUUGAUGCGCUCUCAGGGCCUCAAAGUAACCUCUGCAGGAACCCUCGACAAGAAACCCAUCAGACAGUUGGAGUCCCCCUUGCGUCAAAUAGGAGUGUGGCCACAAGGGGAGCGCGUCCUGGUCGGCCGGCCCAGUAGCCUGUAGCACUCUACCGCAAAUUUGUCAAAAUCUAAAACAUGACGUUUGAGCAAAGCUCGCAUGGCUAGCCAGUCAAGCUGAUGAAACUUUGCCAACUACUAUGUCGCGUUGAUCAGUAAAAAUUAUGUGCAACAUCACAUAUGAAAAAAAAUUGGAAUUUCAAAACACGAUUGUUUUUAAAAUGAACUAGUAAAGUGGCCCGCUCGAUGUGCGGGCUAGAUUUUUAAGUUUUUUUUAAUAAUAUCAUAUUGUUUGAUUUGGCUAAAGAAAAAUUGGAACCCAAUAUGACGACUUUAUUGUGCGGGCUCAAUCUUUGAAUUGUCUAUUAUGUUUUAUGAUUGAAUUUCUUAUCUGUAGUAAGUCAAUACAUAAUUAUGACGACUUUAUUGUGCGGGCUCAAUCAAUAUUAUUAUUUACUGUUAUUCUUCUUAUUUUUAUUGUUAAAAAAACAAUGUUAAAGUCAACCCAUUUGAAAAAAACUAAUUUAAUGUAAGUAUAGUAUCUAAAGUCCUAGUAUAGUAAUUUCAUUUUAAUUUAAUUUUAUUGUAUUCUUCCAUUUUGAAAAUGUAUUUUUAUUAUGAAUCUAGCACUUUAGUUAAAAUACAAAUAAAACUACUACAUUACUGAUCCCAAAAUUAAACAAAAAUGUGUACAUAAACUUGUCUUUAUCAUCGAUGAAUUACAACCAGAUCAUAUGUUUAAAUAAUGGAUAUUUAUAUUAUUAAUCAACCAAGCAUAGUUCUUUUGAUCUCGUAGAUUGUGAUUUCCCAAUAGUGUCUUGUCUUUUUGUUUAUGUGCAAAUAAUAGUUCACCUAUCAUAUUUUACGAGAAUGGGAAACAAAUAUAAGAAAUAGAACUGAAAGAAUUAUAUGGACGUCUAUUCUUGGAAAAUUGUUUAUGGUGUCACCAUCUCGUUCACGUGUGAGUAUGCAAUCUAAUUUCUAACAUGGCAUUCUUUCAUCCGUGAAGAAAUUUCAAGUUAUCACAACGCGACAUGAGUUCGAUAGAAUAUUAACUCAUUCGAAAAAAAAGAUAUGUACAUACAAAACUAAUGAAGUAACUUCAGUAAAAAUUAAUAUGUUACCCAAGAUUUUGAGGGACUGUGAUUUUGAAGGGGUAUUACAUUUUUGUAAUGUUAACUUGACACAUUGGUGAGAAACACAAUUCGAAUAGAAUACACUAAAGCUGAGAAAACAGAACUUUGUUGAACAAUAAUUAACCGGCUAAGAACUUACAAUGUAUCAUGCCUUUGCUGUUAACAACUAUAUGCAGCAGUAUUUUUUUUAUAUUUAUAAUUAUCACUCAAACUAACUUUUUAGAAAGCAUACUAAUUAGUUAGAUAUUCAGGGAUGCAUUGAUAACAGUAAUCGCUAUCGUCUAGCCUUGCCUCCUGUCUGAUGCACUACAAGCAAAGGAUUCAAAACUACGUUUUCCUGUAAUGUAAAACAAUAAUACUUCAUGGAGAUCAUGUUUGCAUGUGCAUAUGGAAUUCAUCAAUAGUAGGUAGAAAAGUCCUAGCUAGCUUAGCCUAGCUUAGGAUAACGCCCUGGCAUCUAAACUGCUUCAUAUAUGCAAUCCAAUUGUAUGGGUCAAAUAUACAAAACCUGAAGCUCAUGGUCUAGAUGUUUCAUUGAUAAUAUCAUUUCCACCAGACUGGCGACCGAUUAUACAGUAGUCUACCUGUAUUGUUUAACACUGAGAUACCGCAUCAGCCAAAUCAUAGCACCUGAGGUGCCUCUUCUUGUGGACGGUGAGAGCAUAUCUGUAAUAAUCAUCCUUUGUAUAACAUUAUUUAUACCUCCAAAUGUUGCACCACACAUGUUCAUCUUUAGAGUCAAGCCCUAUUGCAGCGCAGGUUGUGCUUGGCCAGCACCUUCGUGAUGAACUUGCCAGUGACCACAGUGCAAGCAACUACCAGUACCCAGGAAGCCUCGACGAAGCCAAUGACGUACUGCUCUAUUUCGCGCCGGUGCCAUGUGGCCCACUUGUUUCCCUGAGCAUGUCGGUAUCGACAAAGGAACGAUAGUCGCUAGAUUAAAGGGAAGUGAGAUGGAAAGACACACUCGAGGAGGAAGAUGUUUAGGACUAUGUAUUUGCAUACUCUUUUGGAUCAAGGACGUGGGAUGUAAGUACGGUGUUUGCCUUUUUUUCUUUCUCUUUUUAGCUUUGAAGGGAUGUGUACAUGUUUUUUUUAUGUCUACAUGCUUGAUUUUUUUCCUCUAGAGGGAUAUGUACUUGUUUGUAUUUUUAAAAGGUUGGGGGAUCAUUCAUUUUGUACGCACUUGUUUUUUUUUCAAAUGUAUGUACGUGCCUGAUGGAUAUGUGUGGGGACGUUCUUUUUUAUAUAUGUGGGAUAUGUACGUGCUUGUAUUUUUAAAAGGCUGGGGAUCAUUCAUUUUGUACGCACUUGUUUUUUUUUCAAAUGUAUAUACGUGCCUGAUGGAUAUGUGUGGGGACGUUCUUUUUUUUCCAUGAUGGAUGAACGAUGUGGGAUGUGUAUUUUUUUAUAUCUGGGGGUACACUCUUUUUUAGUGUCCACCGGGUUAUGAAGAUCUAAGGCCUAUGAUUAUAAAAAGAAGAAAAGAAAAAAAUCACCGAUGAACUAUCGGGUUUCUGGUGGGGAGAUGGACAGGAAAAGAGGAAAAUGCAUUGGUUUGCGUGGUGGAAAAUGUGUGUCACAAAGAAGAAAGGUGGAUUGGGCUUUAGAGACCUUCACAACUUUAAUCUUGCUAUGUUAGCAAAGCAGUGUUGGCGACUUCUUCAAAAUCCGGACUCUUUGUGUGCACGAGUUUUGAGUGCAAAAUACUACCCUAACGGGGACAUCCUAAAAGCGGGACCGAAGAAAGGGUCUUCAUUUACAUGGCAAAGCAUUUUAGCUGGGGUUCAGACUUUCAAAAGGGGCUGCAUAUGGCGAAUUGGUUCUGGCUCACACAUCAAUAUUUGGGAAGAUCCAUGGAUUCCAUCUAGUGAGUCGAGAAAAGUUAUUACCCCUAGAGGAGGAAUUAUGUUAACAAAGGUGGCAGAGAUUAUUGAUCCCCAUACUGGACAGUGGGAUGAGGCAUUGUUGCGUAGUGUGUUUUCACCGGUUGAUCUAGAUAGAAUAUUACAGAUUCCCCUACAUGUUGAGGCAGUUGAAGAUUUUUUAGCCUGGCACUUUACGAGGUCCGGAACCUUCUCUGUCCGCUCGGCAUAUCAGGUGGAGUUUGAUCAUCAGUUUGGACGUCAUUACUCAAACUCGAAUAACCCAGGUACUGCUAACCUUAAUAUGGUUUGGAAAGAUCUGUGGCAACUGCGGCUCCCGGGGAAAAUAAAACAUUUUGGUUGGAAAGUCCUAAAGGGGGUCUUGCCGUGCCUCGGUGUUCUGGCAGGUAGGCAUAUACCCUUGGUUCCGCAAUGUCCGCUUUGCAAGAUCGGAUUAGAGGACGUACAACACUGCCUUUUUACAUGCGCACGGGCAUCUGAUGUUUGGUCUGAGUUAGGAUUGCAGAAUGAUAUUAUAAAAGCCAUGCGGCAAGAUCGAUCUGGUUCUAUAACUUUGGAAAUUCUGGUCCGCAUGCGUACCAUGAUUCAUGAGCUGCCAAUGGCUGAACUCAUCUUGGUUGCGAUGUGGUUUAUCUGGUGGCAGAGGCGCCAAGUAACUAAUGGGGAAUCAGUCCAGACACGGGAACAAACAUCAAUAUCUAUCCGAGUUUUAGCCACCAACUUCGUACGAGCCUACACACCAAAUCAGCCGGUACGUACGAUCAGUCAUCAGUGGAAGAAGCCAUUGGAGGGAGCGGUAAAAGUUAAUGUCAAUGCGUCAUUCCAUGCGGACAAUUUUUCAGGAGCCUGCGGCGCUAUUGCUCGUGAUGAUCGAGGCAAUUUCUUGGCUGCAACUACUUGUGCAAUACCGCAUGUGUCUAGUGCAACCUCUGCGGAAUUGUUAGCUAUCAGGUGUGGUCUGAUCCUUGCAGUGAAUCUUGGAUGCACUAAGCUUAUUUUGGAGUCUGACUGUACGAUUGCUUUGGAGGCUAUAUCUGACCCAAACGCAUACAUGGGAACUGAUGUUCCAAUAGUAGUAGAAUGCUCUCUUAUGGCAGUGAAAUUUAAAAGCAUCAGUUUUACUCAUUGUAGCAGAGAAGCGAAUAUGGUAGCGGAUGGCUUAGCAAAGCAUAGCUUUAGUCAUAGCAAGUCUGAAACUUGGGACGUUGUCCCGGACUUUAUUCUGCAUUCUUAUGUAAAUGAUCUUGCUCUUAUUUGAUGAAUAAAGUUUUAAUGCUCAAAAAAAAAGAUCUAAGGCCUAUGAUUUAUUAGUACAGAGAAGUUCUAUUAAAUCAACCAUCGGAUACUUCUGAUUUUUAUAGAAUUUUUGAUCAUAUUUCUCUUUGUUGGUUAACCUGCUAUUUACUUUUAAUAUAUAGUAGAUACUAUAUAUGCAGUACGUGACCAUGUAUGAGUUUGUGAGGGAUUCUCUAUAUACACAUAUGUGCGUUUGUUUUUUCCUUAUGGAAUAGAUGUGCAUGCACAUGCUUUCCAAUUAACAUGGUAGGCUUGCCAAAAAAAAUUUAACGUGAUUCCUCACGCAACAUCUUUUUUUAUAGAAGAGCUCUGACAACCGAAUAAUCCAGGCUUUUUUUCUAGAUUGGAAAAUAUCUACGUGGGACAUGUGCCACGUAAAUCCUUAGAGGCCCAUCAUAUUAUAUAUGUUACGUAAAUUGAACGGUCACGUAAUCUUAAUUUUAAGAGAUUUACCGGAUCGAGGGUUGAUAUUUUCUAAUUAAUGUGGAAUUUUCUAACCUAUUUCUCUCCCUUCUGGUUCACCGUAUAUUACUUUUAGUAUAUAAACAAGAUGAUUUUUGGAACAUGGACUUUUUCCAAAUUUAUGAAUAAAAUUUGAAAACUAGAGCAAUUUUUGACUAUAUCAAGGUUUUUUUAAACACAAACUUUUUUUGAAAUUUUAAAACACGAUUAUUAUUUUAAUGCAACCUUUCUUAGAUUUCAAAACACGUUUUUAAUGAAUAUUUUCUUAAACCCAACCAAAAGUUGAAAACUUGAACAUUUUCAAAAACACUCGGAAGUGUGGACAUUUUCUAAAAAACGUGAAAGGAUUUAGGAAAACUUCAAACUUUUUCAAAGCACGAAUAAUUUUUGGGAAAAAUGAAACAAAAUAAAAUUCCGAACAGUUUUUGAACAUUUUUUUAGAAAUGUUGAAUUUAUGAAAAAAAGGAUAAAUUAUGAAAGAAAGGAAAAUCGGUGAAGAAGAAAACAACAGAAGGAAAAAAACUAAAAAAUAGUGUAAGAAAAAAAAACUAAUCCUAGCUACUUGGGAUGGUACAUAUGCGGUUUGCUCACUGCACAUUUCCUAAAAUUUUUUAGGGGUAAAAGCAAGUUUUAAUCAUCAAACACCAUAGAGUGUGGGAUAGAUUUGGGGUCGUGGCAUUGGUUAAACCCAAUGCGGCGUCCCAAACCUAACGAAAGAGAAAGACUGGCUAGACUAUGUGCUUCGACAUUGAUAGCAUGACCUUUACAAGAAAAAUUACUAUCAAAUAAAGAUGGUUGCAACUUAAUCUGGUUGAUAAUGGCUCGUUUCCCACAUAGUUUGCUCACAGUUUUUGAGAGAAAAUUUAGCCUUGAUGGGCUGGGAAAUCGGGCCAACCAAUCUCAAGUGCGACCGAUUCAUCUUUGUCCACUAGAAAGCCUGCCACGUUGCCCAAGAGCCAACCCUUAUCUUUUUUUUACAGGACCCGUAUAUGUUUUAUUGCUCCAGCAAGACCGGUCGCCGCCAAGCCUCUCUCGCCCGCUCAACAGCUCCCCCCGCCGCCGGGGCUAAGCCCUGGAUCCCCCCACCCCCAGGUUGCGAGCUUGUCCCAUCCCUCCCUCUCUUCUGCGUACCCUCGCCCCACCUCGUCUUCUCCCCCACCGGUGCUUUGCCUAGUUUCUUGGAAAAAACUCUCGAUAAAAUAUUGGAACUCUGGCAAAAUGUGCUUUCCUGAUUGCUACACUCGGCAAAAGGGGGUAUGCAUUGCACUGUUUUGGUUGUCCAUAUUGCAUACGACCUCGGAUGAAGAUGAUCCCAAAAUCAAAGUUUAUCAUUUUGACAAGAUGAUUAAUUUUCAUGUUCAGAACUUUUCCAUUUUAAGCCAUGUUAUUUACACUUUUGACAAUGCCAAAAUAUGGUCUCAAAUGAAUAUGGCGGUGGUCAUAUUUAUUGCAUAGUUUCUGACAAUGGGCCUAAAGUUGGCAUUUUGUUGCAUCUCGCCAUUACAAACAAUGAUGCCAAAUAGAGUUUCCAACAUUUUGUACAAAACUAAUUUUCCCAUUUUCUAAGUGUAAAAAAAUGGAUAUUUUGUGAAGCGGGUAAAAAAACAUAGUGCAAAAUGGCACCACCCCAAUUUACAUAAAAAGUAGACCACAUGUUUUAGAAAAUUCCCAGGUUUUGUGGAUCUUCUUAAUUUCUAGCUACUUUCGCACAGUUAAAUUCAAAUUUGAACUUUAAGUCUGUGAUAGCUUUGUCCUAAAAAUUAGCAAAAAUGUAAUCUAUUUUUUUAGGUGUGCAAGUAGUCAUUUUAUGAAAUCACCACUUAAGUUUGAGAGAUUCAGGCCCUUGCCAUGACUAUCCAUGCCGGGCAUUUUGACCCCGUUUUGGAAAAAUGAAACAAAAAGGAUACAAGUUCAAAAAAAUGCAAUCCAUUCGUAUGGACUCCUUUUAUGUGUACUAGCUAGGACGAAAAUACCAAACUUCAAUAUGAAAACUUUGAAAGAAAAAUAUCCAUCACAAAACGGGCUAUCAUGUAUGAACCUUCACGGCUUUCAAGUCAAACGACCAAGGUGACGACAAUAUCCAUUCCAUAGUUUAUUAUAUUAUGCCGAAAUUAGACAUAUAGGUGAAUCAUGCCAUUGCAAAUAAUGUUGUAAAAUAGAGUUUCCAACUUUUUGUACAAAAAAUCAUUUACUAUUUUCUAAGUAUCAAAAAUGGGUGUUUCUUGUGAAGUGGGUUCAAAAAAUAGAGUGGAAAAUGGCACCACUCCAAUUUUCACAAAAAGUAGACCAUAUUAGAUGGACAAUUCCCAAGUUUUGUAGAUGUCUAGCUAAAAACUAACAAUUGGUGUAUUUUUUUAAUAUUUAAUGAAAAUAAAAAAAUGGGAAGGGCGGAUACUUAAUGGAUAACAUGGACAUCUGAGGGUGUACCUUUAAGUGUUGGAGAUGCCUUUAUGUGCUGGUUUAUGUCGUGCUCAACCUGCAAUGUACUAGAGUUAAUCAUGUUGGGUAACGGUGCAUGGAAAAACAAAAAAAUAUCUACGCACACGUAAUGAUCUAUCCAUGGAGAUGCAUAGCAACGAGGGGGAGAGUGUGUCUACGUACCCCCAUAGACCAAAAGCGGAAGCGUUUGACAAUGCGGUUGAUGUAGUCAAACUUCUUCUAGCUCCGACCGAUCAAGCACCGAACGUACGGCACCUCCGAGUUCUGCACAUGUUUAGCUCGGUGAUGUCUCUCGUCUUCUUGAUGAGUUCCGUCAGCACGACAGCGUGGUGACGAUGAUGGUGAAGUGAUCCAUGUAGGGCUUCGCUUAAGCACCGCGAGAAUAUGACCGGGGGUGUAAACUGUGGAGGGGGGCGCCGCACACGGCUAACAAUUGAUGUUGUGUGUUCUAGGCGCCCCCUUCCCCACAUAUAUAUAGGUGGGAGGGGAGGGGAGGCAGCAAGGGGGCACCCCAAGUAGGAUCUGAAUCCUACUUGGGGUUUCCCCAAGUGACGCCCCCCCCCUUCCUUUUUUCCACCGGAGAAGAAAGGAAGGGGGAAGAAGAGAAGCAAGGGGGGCUGAACCCCCUCUUCUCCUUCUCCUAUUUGGCCACUUGCCAUAGGGGAGGCGCGCCACCCCUUGUGNNNNNNNNNNNNNNNNNNNNNNNNNNNNNNNNNNNNNNNNNNNNNNNNNNNNNNNNNNNNNNNNNNNNNNNNNNNNNNNNNNNNNNNNNNNNNNNNNNNNNNNNNNNNNNNNNNNNNNNNNNNNNNNNNNNNNNNNNNNNNNNNNNNNNNNNNNNNNNNNNNNNNNNNNNNNNNNNNNNNNNNNNNNNNNNNNNNNNNNNNNNNNNNNNNNNNNNNNNNNNNNNNNNNNNNNNNNNNNNNNNNNNNNNNNNNNNNNNNNNNNNNNNNNNNNNNNNNNNNNNNNNNNNNNNNNNNNNNNNNAUUCGAGAACACUUCCGGUGUCCGAAUACUAUCAUCCUAUAUAUCAAUCUUUACCUCUCGACCAUUUCGAGAUUCCUCGGCAUGUCCAUGAUCUUAUCCGGGACUCGAAACAACAUUCGGUCACCAUAUCACAUAACUCAUAUAAUACAAUAUCAUUAUCGAACGUUAAGCGUGCGGACCCUACGGGUUCGAGAACUAUGUAGACAUGACCGAGACACCUCUCCGGUCAAUAACCAAUAGCGGAACCUGGAUGCUCAUAUUGGAUCCUACAUAUUCUACGAAUAUCUUUAUCGGUCGAACCGUUAUGACAACAUACAUUAUUCCCUUUGUCUAUCGGUAUGUUACUUACCCGAGAUUCGAUCAUCGGUAUCUGCAUACCUAGUUCAAUAUCAUUAUUUGUAAGUCUCUUUACUCGUUUGUAAUACAUCACCUUACUAACGGAUGGGUCUUGUCCAUCACAUCAUUCUUCUAAUGAUGUGAUCCCGUUAUCAAAUGACACCUCAUGUCCAUGGUUAGGAAACCUUAACUAUCUUUGAUCAACGAGCUAGUCAAGUAGAGGCUCACUAGGGACAUAGUGUUUGUCUAUGUAUUCACACACGUAUUAAGGUUUCCGAUCAAUACAAUUCUAGCAUGAAUAAUAAACAUUUAUCAUGAAUAAGGAAAUAUAAAAUAAGAACUUUAUUAUAUCCUCUAGGGCAUAUUUCCUUCAAAUCAGUAUAUGUGUGCAUGCUUGGUUGUUAGUGAAAUGUUUUAUGUAUAUGUGUACAUGCUUGGUUGGGCCAACUUUGUGUAUUACAUUUUGUGAAAUACAAACUUGAUAUACGCCACAUUUGUGUUAACGACCAAUAAGUAUAUACAUAACUAUAUUUUGCCUUCUUUUUCCUCCUCCACAAGAAAAGGUCCCGCGCUUUUCUCCUCCUCCAAUUGGCGCCAUAGCUGGUCCGCCCCAUCUUUGAUGGCCUUUGGGCCCUUUAGUACCGUACCGAACCAGCAGCCUUCGCGCCAAGCGACGACCGCCCUUGUCCCUUUCCUUUUUCCAUUCAGCCUACUUCUUAGCUUUGUUCCGUUAGUCUAAGGCAAAGCUUAAGUGGUUUACCUACCUUACCCACUUGAUGAAAGGGAACGGACUUCAUUUCCUUGGCGGCUUUAUGGAUGGAUUCAGUAAGAAAAAUUCCUUCCUUUUGAAAAAAGUGACACCACGAAGGUGAGUAGGACCUCAGGCCCUCGCUGGCGGGAGGGAACCCGUUCUCAUUCUUUUUUGGUUCAAUGUCUUGCUGGAGCUGUGUUGCGGCUAUGAUGUCUCUCAGUAGGAAUAAUGUUUCACAUGUUCUAUCCCUGUCUCGAUGGUGCCUCUAGCAUUAUCAUAGGGCAUGUGGAGGUGUGUCUCUAUCGGAUUUCGCAGGAUUCGGUCGGCAUUGGUCUUCGGUGGAUCUGUUUGGACACGGUCUAUGUUCAUCUUUGUGGUGUUUAUACUAUUGAUCCUUCCGAUCUAUGACUUUCUUCAUCGACGAUGGUUGCUGCUUCGGUGCGCUGGUCCUAUGGGUCCUUAGCACGACAACUUCCUGACUAUUGACUACAACAAGGUUUGCCCGGCUCCAGCGAUCGGGGGGGGGGGGUGAUGGCGAUGCACAGCUUUCUUUAGUGCUUGUAGUCAUCGCUAGGUGGUCCAUGGACCUGGUUGUAAUUUUUUGUAUCUCUGGUGUUCUUUGUACUGCCAUGAUUGAAGAUGAAUAGAUUGGAAGUUUCUCACGCAAAAAUAACUAUAUAAAUAACUAUUUUAGCAAAAUUCGCAAAAAAACUAUUUUAGCAAGUAAUAAAUUUUGACACCAAUUAUAUGGUAGUAAUUAAUAUUUCCCCUAAUAAUAUCCGCAUUGGGUCCAGGUUUUAUACUAUGUAUACAGACGGGAGUAUGUUUGGAUAAUUGUGUGAACACAAGGAUAUAUCUUAGCAAAACUAUUUUUAGCAACAAGUAAAUGAAUUAAUAUAUGCUAGCUAUACUCUGCUGGUGAAAACAUGGUUUAUUAGUUGUACAAAGCAUGCAACACGGUUUCACUCCCCUUUAUAUUCAUGGGCGGAACACAAUUUCAGAUCCAAGUUUUAUGUUUGUCUACACACUCCCAUCUUCUUCCCAUAUCAGCAGGAAAAUUCACUCCAAUCAUCUCGCCAUUCUACACUUGGGAAAUCAGGUUUGCUUCAAUCUACCAUCCUUGAAUAUAUGCCCCACAUCUUGUUUCUGCGUCCUAAUCUUAUUAAGCUUGUAAUUAGUAGUUAGUGCAAGAUCAAAAAGGAGCUAUGGGCAAAACACCAUCCGCACCUGCUGAUUUAAUCACCAUAGGACAAGCGGCGCCUAAUCAUGAAAUAGCAGGAGAUUCAAGUGACAGUGAGAGAACAAUCAGUGAGGGUUAUGUGGGGAUCAUGUAUGGUGGUAGCCAAACCCACGAUAGCAACCUGGAAGGAGAAUCUGACAUGGUAUUGCUAGCAACAGAUUCAAGUGACAGCGAGAGAACAAUCAGUGAGGGUUAUGUCGGGAUCCUGUAUGGUGGUAGCCAAAUCCAGGAUGGAGACCUGGAGGGAGAAUCGGCUAUGGUAUUGCCUGCUGUAGGAGAGAAUACCACGGCGAGAUCUAACAGUCAUGGUCAUACGCGUAGCUUGGAAAUUGAUUCUACCUCUUGUACUGGGAGGCAUGCUGCCAGGUCAGAUUUUGUUCUAGUGGCACAACGCCGAGACUGCAUACAAAUUUACCCUGAGUGGCUGGAGAAAAUUGAUUCAGGCAAAAAGAUGUGGAUAGCUCUCAAAAAAUUUCGAGCAAAUGGGAAGCAUGAAGAGGUUAGUAUAUACACAUGUUCUGGUGUGCUCUCUCAUCAAAUAAUUUUCAUUGUGGGUUAAUCAUCUCAUAACAUAAGGAGUGUUUGCUUGAUGGGCAUUCAGACCAAAUGAUGAACGAAUUAGAUCCUAGGUUCUCCAAAAGAUGACAUUGUGUUUUGCUUCCGUUACCUCAUAGAUUUUCAGCCUUUGCGUCAAAAUGAUUUUAUGCAUUUGUUUUCGCACUAACUUGUAUUUUUUUAAGCACAACCAUCCAUAUAUGUAAAAAAAACUCAUGGCCACUUGUGCGAUUGAUAGAAAUCAGUUAACAUCUCAAUUUCCUCAUGUGCUAUUGUAUGACUAUGGAGGUUUUUCUAACAUGAUCCUUCUUACCUCCCCUUUUCACAUGAGACGUAAGAGUAUAAAGUAAAUCUGAGUCAUUGACUGCAUUAAGUAGUGGGCUUGACUAAAUCUUACCUUCUUAACUCCCAUGUGAAAAGAUGGGGUAAGAGGAAGCAUGUUAAAAUGGCUCAUGAACGGUGCUGCCGCCAGUGGCAGAGCUUGAGCAUAAUCCAAGAGGGCCAUUACUUGAAGGGGGGGAAAUUAGAAGGGAAGGAGGGGAAAAUAUCUAGUUUAAACACUAGUUAGGCUUAAAAUAUAGUAUAUUCAUUGAUGGGUGCAAAAAUUAAGGGGGGCCAUGGCCCCUGUUGGUCUACAUGAAGCUCCGCCACUUGCUGCCGCACAUUCUACAGUAUUGUUAUAGACACUGACUGACUCUUAUUUUUGCACUAUAUCCAAAUGUACUAGCAGUCAUAAGACACCAAUCUGUCAGGAUCUCGGCUUUUGGCCUUCUGCUAGGAUGCACUAAAGAUAUUGAUAAGUCUCGCCAUUCCUGGAUGUUGUGAAGGUUACCUGACUGGAACAGAUUGUUCUGGAGAAGGAUAUGGAGGCGCGGCAAACCUAAAGCAACGAUGAUGCAACAAAUGGAAUGUGAUCGAGAAUGGUAUUAUCUACAUGUGCACACCAGAGAGCAUACAAAUUAGGGUCUGCAUGGACGACCAAAACACAUGGCAUUUUUUAUCAACUAGACCAUCCUUUUUUCUUUGAUCUACUAACAUUGGUUGCCAUUUCGGGCUUUUGGGCCGACCUUCGGGCGAGAAAUUGAAGCCCAAGCCUACCCCAGAUGUCGGGCUUUGGGCUCAGGCCUCUGGGCCGGGUAGUCCAUGAACAGGUUUAGUUUGAUCUAUUCACUCACAUUUUGAUCCUCAUUCAUUAUAGCAUUUAACCAUAAUUCAUAUGAACAUGCACCACGAGAAUAUAAUAAAGGAAAUGCAUGGGCUAAUUUGUAGUACACAACGCCUUAUUGUGCGGUAUCACAAGAACAUUUUUCUCCUUGAUUACAAUAGUAACUACUAUGCAAUCUUAUAUAUCAAAUCAUAUAUUAUAUGACAAAUUAAGUAUAUUGUUUUGCUUAUUUCAGUAUUACCUUCAUAAGGAAUAUAGUCACAAGUUUUGCUCCAAACGCAACGUUAUUGAGUUCAUACGAAAUGGAACUGUGAAAGGGAAGUCGGUUCAGAAGGUGCCUAAAUACUUGACUUUCAAACAUAUAGUAAUUAUGCGAAGAUGUAUAUGUUUUUUGUAUUAACUUUAAAGUAUUAAUUUGACACGGUAUCCUAUUUUUGCACAGAGAUCAUCUGAUACUUCUAUGAACAAUCUUCAGGGUAUGUCCAGUUGGCCCCAUGCAUUUGGAUAUUAUUUUGUAUACUAUUAUUACUAUACAGAGAUAUCUAACUGAAACUGAAAUAUAAUAAAUAUUCAUGGAGAGAAAAAUAGACAUUAAUGUCCACAUACACAACAAAAUUAACCAGUACUGUCCUAGUUUACAUGAAUUAAUAUUUUCAAUGACAAUUAGGUUACUCAUGACAUGAUAAAGAAAAAAAAUGUGAGGUAAGAUAAGGUUUUCUAUAAUUUUUCAUGGGGACCUCCUCAUGGUUGCAGAUACAUAGUUUUACAGUGCUUCAUGAAAUAGUUGCAUAUCAUCAUGUCUAAAAGAAUCAUGACGGACACAACUUCAAGAAAUUCUUCUUGUAAAAUAACAUGAUUUGUAUAUACCUCAUAAAGGAUGUAACUUGUUGGUAGCAUUUAAUAUUGUGACACACUCGCCAUCUUUUGUGCCAGCAUUAUUUGGGUGAUGAUUUAAUAUCCAAAAGCAUACAUCAAGGUAGUUAUGUGCAAUGAUAUUCUUGUGAAAAUAACUUCCAUAGUGUAUACUUGCAUAUAUGUAUUGCUCUAUUGUAUUCUCACAGUUAAUCCUUUUUCUUAAUUUUUUGUUUGUUUAUUUAUGUUUAGAGCAAGAUUAUAAAUUAAGCUGAGCAUAAUUUCUGCAGAUUAUAGAUGGCCCACUGAAAGACAAAGGGCGAAGGCGCAAACUUCAAAUAAUUCUUCUUGCCACAUAGGUUUUUCUAAUUGUGCGAGCAUACCACUUGUAACUGCCUUCAGUCAUCUAUGUCAGUAGUAUUUUGAGAAGAAUUUCAUUACAAAAUGCAAUGACUCAAACAAUCAGAUUGUUCAUGAUGAUUCCUAAUUGUAUAACCAAUAAGCUUAACGCACCUUCCUAUUUUAGAGUUGUUAUGUUAAUAAGUAUAUACUAUCUGUUAUUAAUGUUGUUAAUGGGUGAAGAACAUUUGUUGCUCAUGGUUAGAAUGUAGAAUUUUCUUAAUACAACAACCUAGAGCGAAUGUGGAGGCCAAUAUAGAUUGAAACCAUUAAUUCAUAUUAAAAUGGUCAUGACUUCUUAUUUUUAUUUGACAUAAAUGUUUGUGACUUGUUUGAAUUAAUGUGUUCUGCAAUUAUAUGAUACUUGCGUAUUCAUACUAUUUUUAUGAAUUGUGCAGCUAGUUUGUCGACAGGAGCACGAACAACCACAACUUCUACAAAGCUUCCACAUGGUUUCAUCUAGUAUCAUGCAAAAGACAUUGAGACAAUCAAGAUUACUUGAGCAACCUGAAUUAUGUUAGUUGUUACCUGCUUUCAAACGAAUGUGUCCUCUCAUAGUAUGCAUGUACUUCUGUUGUUGAGGAAUUUAUAUCAUUAGACAGUUCUGUUUUUCAUAAUUAUUGAUUAAUGGGUACAUACCUUCAAUCCUGGAAGAUUAUCAGAUAGCCAGUCAAGGAAGCAAUUUAUUUAUUGAAUUGUGCAUAAUAGGAACAUUUUUACAUUCAAAGGAACAUCAUAGGAAUAAUUUGGUAUUUCGAGAAGAUUUUCCAGUCCCCUGCCCCAACCUACUGGAGACAGUAUGAGUGGUGACAGACACAUUUG